RNAcentral lists this ribosomal RNA (127 nucleotides) under uncultured bacterium. RNAcentral's name for it is "partial 16S ribosomal RNA". The record is from RNAcentral.
AAUGUCAGGGCUUGAGGCUAUUAACCUCAAACUUUUCUUCCCAAUUGAAAGUGCUUUACAACCCUAAGGCCUUCUUCACACACGCGGCAUGGCUGCGUCAGGCUUUCGCCCAUUGCGCAAUAUUCCC